GAGACGAGAGGGAGAACAUGCGUGACAGAGAGAACGCACUGGAAAGUCUCUAUCCUGAGACCUGAAGGAAUUUGGGAAGAAACCUGGGAAGAGGCAAUUCAAAGAGAGAUCCCCUCUACACGGACGGCUGGGGUUGCUACAGGAUCCAGAGAUAUUCCACUGAAGGAAUGGAAAGGUGUCUCUGUGGAGAAGCUGCCACAGCCAAAGUCGAUGAUGCAGACUCUUGUUUCACCAGACUCCAGCUGAACGAGAACAUUCUCCAGUCACGAUGGAAGAUGUUUUUGUGCAUAUCAACGGCUGCAUCGACCAGCUGCUUCAGGAUUUUCUAAAAUGAAUGGAGAAAUAACCGUGCUGGAAAGGGUUGAAACACAGUGUCUAAUUUAACCUAAAUAACAUAAUGCUGCAUAAACAUUUAGCAACUAAGCUAGCAUAGAGGGCUACUACAAACAAUUUCACUAACUAGCACUAGGCACUUCUUAGCUUGUUAGCACGUAUGCUGUUAGCUCCACAGCAACAAUAGAUGAUCACAUAUGAUCACGUCCUUCUUUGUUUAAGUAAGAUCUGUUGUACUCCGGCUAUGCAAAGUGUCAUCUUUUUGUUUGUUUGUUAUUUGUGUUUUAUGUUCUGUCUGUGGCUCCAUGUGAUCAUGAUCUGAGCGACAAAUAAAAUUAAAUGGAUAAUCUUUA
Notolabrus celidotus (New Zealand spotty) is the source of this 686-nucleotide long non-coding RNA. RefSeq lists it as uncharacterized. The record is from RefSeq and is a predicted model, not a curated record. The transcript is spliced from 3 exons. Lineage: Eukaryota; Metazoa; Chordata; Actinopteri; Labriformes; Labridae.